ACCGACGGGCUCGCCGAGGAGGAUUCGCUGGCUGAAAAUGUGCAACGUGCCCCGCUAUUAGGUUCUGUGUUGCAACUGUCCUCUUAGAGUCUUCGGUCCGUCAUGGGAAUCGAUGACCUUAGCGGGGCGUUUCGAAGGAGGCACACAGACGUCCGAGUCAAGCGUUCCCGCAGCGAAGCGAGGACAACGCUUGACGCGGCGGCGACACCACAAACUAUUUGAUGGGGUGCAGGCGAAGUCCUGCACCCCUGCCACGUGGCGAACGGGGGAGCGCGAGGGGAACCCCUCGCAUUCAAAAGAGAAGAGUGCGCCGAAGGCGCUCCGCUCAAGAUAACACCCGGUUCGGAAAGCUGUCUUCUUUAUUGCUGCGCAGGGCUUUGGGUCCUGCCGAGUGUCUUGUGUCGUUUUGAGCGACGGCGAGCAAAGAGGACAGAUCGUGGUGCGGAUCAUCAGGGCGGCGAUGGGCUAUGCCGCAAUCCCGACGGGCUUUCCGAUUCUGCUGUCGGAACGGAUGGCGAUCAUCGAGCCGGCGUUUGCUUGGCUGAUAGAGCUGGCGACGAUACCCGGCCGCAGCCACGCGGCGGAAACGAUCCGCACCUAUGGCGAGCAUCUUCACGACUGGUUCGACAGCCUGGAGCAAACGGGUCUCGAUUGGCGCGGCGUGAGCGAAGCCGAGAUUGCGGCCUGGCGCAAUCGCAUGCUGUCACAGCCGAGCCCGCAUACGAAGCGGCCCUAUGCACGCUCGACCGUGAACGAUCGGGUCCGCACGGUCUGUCGGUUCUAUGCGUGGGCGCAGGAUCGCGGCUGGAUCGAGAGCCUGCCGUUCCACUUCGUCGACGUGCGCGUGGGUUCAGGCCGGCGACAAUCGUUCCUGGCGCAUGUCGACGGGCGUCCGGGGAUCGUGGCGGCGAACAUCCUGACAGUCGCCGAGCACGAGCGCUUGCCGCGACCAUUGCGUGUCGAUCAAUUGCGCCGGGUGUAUGCGCAUCUGGAGAUGCCCUACCGCCUGAUGGCGGAAUGGGGGUUGGCGACCGGAUUGCGGCGCAAGGAGCUUUGCGGCCUCGCCGUCUUCCAGGUUCCGGAGACGGCGCACCUGGACGACGAGGAUCACCCGCUGAUUGGCGUGCCGCUGACGAUCACCAAGGGUGACAAGCCGCGCACGAUCUAUCCGCCGAUCCGUCUGGUCGACCGCACGCAGCGCUAUGUCGACGAGGUUCGCACGCCGCAGGUUCGAGCUUUGCGCCGCAAUCGGCCGGGCUAUCGUCCGCCCUCGGCGCUGUUCCUCAACGCCCAGGGAUACGCCGUCAGCAAGGCGCGAUUGACGGCGGUUUUUGCCGAGGCGUUCCGCGCGGCUCGCGUGAUCGGGACAUUGCAUUACCUGAGGCACACAUUUGCGAUGACGAUGCUGGUGCGACUGCAGCGGCAGGCCAUGACCACGCCGGACCUCAAUCCGCUGAAGAUCGUGCAGAUGCUGCUGGGACACAGCUCGAUCCAGAGUACGGCAAUCUAUCUGCGCUGCGUCGAACUGAAUGCGCGGGACCUCGCCGACAGCAUCGACUAUCUCUAUGGCGAGUUGAUCCCCGAUGGCCGGUAAACGUGGGCGCAUCGACCGGCGUCUGUCGGCUGCGCCAUCGCUCGUGUUGGAACGGCCGGCCGAUAUCAUCGCGGUCUUCCGCGACGGUUGGGGCGAGGUUGUGCGGCGCUUCGACUUCCAUCCGCUCGGUUUGCCGGCGGACAUUGCGAUGCUGCUGGCGGACGCCUUCCGCAAUCAUCAUGCCGCCUCGACCCAGGAGACGCAGCGCCAUUGCUGGAUGGCGCUGCGUACGUUCGCGCGCUUCGUGGCGGAGGACGGUCUUAUCCUGUCGGUCAACGAUCUGACCAGUGUGAUGGUCGGGCGCUACAUCGCAUGGUUGGAUCGCCAGAUCGCGGGACAGACCAACCAGCCCUGGUCGAGGAGCUCGCGGGCGAAUGUGCUGAUGCAGCUUCGCCAGAUGAUCGACUGGACGAAGCGCCGACAUCCGUCCCGGCUGCCGGCGCGGAUCGACUUCCCAUGGCGGGUCUGGCCGAACCGCAACACUGAUGCUCGGCCGCGUCUUGGCGGUGAGGACCUCAAGGUCAUCCUGCGUGCGUGCUAUGAGGAAAUCGACGAGGCGUGGGAUCGCUUCGAGACCGGGCGGAAGAUUGUUGCGACAAGCGGACCGGUUGAUGGCGUCGAUCCCGAGCUUUGCGACCUGAUCCGCGCGCUCGCCGGCGUGGACGACGGAGUCGUUCCCUCACGCACGCUUGCGAUCCGCAGUGGCGUCAACAUAUCGGCGGUCAACCGCCGUGGCGGGCUUCGUCAUCUUGGCGGUUAUCUCCACCUCACCGGCGAAACAGUCGCCGCAUUCUUCAUUGCGCUGUCGAUCCAGACGGCGGGCAAUCCGGACGCAUUACGGCUGAUCACGCGCGAUUGCCAGGUGGCGCAUCCGCUCGACGAGCAUCGCAUCAUUCGUCGAGUGGGCCAAGCCGAGAGCCGGCGCCAAGAUGAAGCGCGCGCAGAGGCGAUCGUUCGACCGUCGUCGCCGCUACGCGGCGCCGAACCUGAUCGACAUGCGGGCGAGGCCGGCGGCGCUCGCACCCCGGGCCAGCCGGCAGGAUCGCGAUCGCCUGUUCCUGGUGAAAAGCGAGAAGAAGAAUACGGUCACGCUGAUCGCGGACGGGACAUUGUCGCAUGCGCUGAGGCCGUUCAUCAAACGCUCCAACGCCCGGAUCGCCAUCUGGAACAAGGCGGCGCCGGAGCGGGCGCGACCGUUCUUGCCGGAUUUUGCGGCGGUGCUGCUGCGAGGCAGCGUCGCCACCGAAUACUACAAGGCAUCCGGCGGCGACAUCGUCGCGACGCAGGGCGUGCUCAACCACGCCCGCGCCGAUACGACCGAGCUUUACAUCAAGGGGCCUCAGACGCGUCGUAUCCAGCGCGAGACCAUCGCCCGCUUGCAGGCGUUGAUGCUGGGCUGGAUCGUCGGUGCGAAGACGGACACUGAAGAUCAGGCGCAACGCGAUUGCAUUGCGCUGGCGAGCGGUGCGACGGUUCCGUUCAGCCAUGAUUGCCUCAACCCGGCUGCGGGUACGGCGCCGGGAUCGGCGGCCGGCAGAGUCUGCCGGCACUUCGGCGGAUGCCUGCGCUGCCCAGGGCUGGUCAUCCCGAUCGAUGCCGAUCACAUGGCGCGCGUUCUCCAGGCAAAGGAGGAGCUCGAGCGCACGCGUGAGCGGAUCGAUCCGCGUCGCUUCGAGCUUCUGUAUGCGUCGAGCCUGCGCAUUCUGACGGACGACAUCCUGCCUGACUUCCCGCAAUCGCUGCGCGCGGAGGCAGAACGUCGAAUGGCGGUCCUGCCACCCCUUCCGGCGCUGGAGUGAACGAUGCAAGCACUCAACGCACCCGAUCUUGCUGCCGCGACCAGACCAGCGCUUCGAAUCUCGACGCGCUCGGUGUGGUCGGAUCAGGUCUGGCAUCUCGACGGAUAUCGUCCCGGCUCCAACCGAGGCGACUUCUCGCUUGAUUGGCGUUUUGCGCUGGCCGACGACAGCCGCUUCAGCGACCCGCAAUGGGCUGACUGGCGAGAGGCGGCGAAGCUGUUCUUAUGGAGUCUGAAGCUGGACCCGCCUCCAGGCCGCCGCAACGUUCACGAGUCGACGAUCGUCUCCGUCUUCAAAACGUUGCGGGCGCUGAUCCGCUGGAUGGCGGCGCAAGGAUGUCGGCGUUUUGCCGAUCUCGACCGCGAUGCGAGCGACAGGUUCAUGGCGGCGGUAGCGCAGCGCCCCGGCAGCAAGCUGGGCGAGACAUUGAAGAGCACGACGCUGCAUACCUAUACCAAUCUGCUGACGCGCCUGUAUCUUCAAGGAGCGAAGUUCCCGGAAGUAGCGAUCGCCGAUCCGUUCCCGGGGAUUGCGCCGCCCUUCGUUCGUCGUGACCGGGGUUGGCUACCCUAUACACCGGACACAGUCGCCGUGCCGUUGGUCUCGGCGGCGCUGCGGCUGAUCGGGCAACCGGCGGACGACGUCAUCGCUUUGCAAGCGCAGGCGCAGACGGCUUAUGACGAUGCGCUUGCGCAAGGCAUCCACCAGACGAAGGCCGGCUUCAUUGUUACCGACACGAUUGCGCCGUUCGUCUUCUCGAUACUGCCUGGAGAGGAAGCUCCAUGGCAUGAAGCGCCAAUCACCAGCACCAAGCAGGUGAGGUACGUCGUCGAUCGCAUUUACGACGCCUGCUUUGUCGUGAUCGCUUAUCUGGUCGGCGCGCGAGUCUCGGAGAUCCUCGGCCU
RNAcentral lists this unclassified non-coding RNA (4298 nucleotides) under Hevea brasiliensis (rubber tree). The record is from RNAcentral. Lineage: Eukaryota; Viridiplantae; Streptophyta; Magnoliopsida; Malpighiales; Euphorbiaceae.